This 481-nucleotide ribosomal RNA is filed under the name Microbacterium sp. A16. Its description in RNAcentral is "bacterial SSU rRNA". It matches the Rfam family "Bacterial small subunit ribosomal RNA", at positions 8 to 504 of the family's 1533-position model. The record is from RNAcentral. Lineage: Bacteria; Bacillati; Actinomycetota; Actinomycetes; Micrococcales; Microbacteriaceae.
AGAGUUUGAUCCUGGCUCAGGAUGAACGCUGGCGGCGUGCUUAACACAUGCAAGUCGAACGGUGAAGCCAAGCUUGCUUGGUGGAUCAGUGGCGAACGGGUGAGUAACACGUGAGCAACCUGCCCUGGACUCUGGGAUAAGCGCUGGAAACGGUGUCUAAUACUGGAUAUGAGGCGUGAUCGCAUGGUCAUGUUUGGAAAGAUUUUUCGGUCUGGGAUGGGCUCGCGGCCUAUCAGCUUGUUGGUGAGGUAAUGGCUCAUCAAGGCGUCGACGGGUAGCCGGCCUGAGAGGGUGACCGGCCNCACUGGGACUGAGACACGGNCCAGANUCCUACGGGAGGCAGCAGUGGGGAAUAUUGCACAAUGGGCGCAAGCCUGAUGCAGCAACGCCGCGUGAGGGAUGACGGCCUUCGGGUUGUAAACCUCUUUUAGCANGGAAGAAGCGUUAGUGACGGUACCGCAGAAGAAGCCGGGCUCAGAGG